GAGCAAUUCAAGUAAGGUACAGCCUGCUUGAAACAGGAUACAACCUAAAAAUGUGGGUAAUUAAAUCUUUCUGCCAUAAAGUGGGCCUAAAAGCAGCCACCUUUUGAAUAGCGUCACAGCUUAAUCACAUACAGAUUUAAUAACAAAAAUUUUACCGAACCCCACCCUACUACCAAGCAAUUCUAUAUUUUUAUAGAACUUUUUAUGUUAAAACUAGUAACAAGAAGAACCCCUUCUCUUUAAUGCAAGCAUAAAUCAGCCAGGACCAACCACUGAUAAUUAACACCUAUGAACUAAUAGUAACAACACUUCAAGAAAACCUUACUUCAUCUUAUGUUAACCUAACACAAGAGCAUUAUAAGAAAGAUUAAAAGAAAAAGAAGGAACUCGGCAAACAUUAACCCCGCCUGUUUACCAAAAACAUCGCCUCUUGAUUCUAAUAAGAGGUCCAGCCUGCCCAGUGACUUUGUUCAACGGCCGCGGUAUCCUAACCGUGCGAAGGUAGCGUAAUCACUUGUUCUUUAAAUGAGGACUAGUAUGAAUGGCACCACGAAGGUUAUACUGUCUCCUUUAUCUAAUCAGUGAAACUAAUCUUCCCGUGAAGAAGCGGGAAUAAACAUAUAAGACGAGAAGACCCUAUGGAGCUUUAAACAAGUAUACAACUGCCUUUCCUAUUUUAAAAUUUCAGAAAACAAACCAUUAUUUAGGCAUUUUGGUAUAAAGUUUUAGGUUGGGGUGACCACGGAGAAAAAUGUAACCUCCGCAAUGAACGGGGCUUCCCCCCUUAACUAAGAGCUACGACCCUAAGAAUCAAUAAAUUGACAUCAAUUGACCCAAUAAAUUUGAUCAAUGAACCAAGUUACCCUAGGGAUAACAGCGCAAUCCACUUCAAGAGCCCCUAUCGACAAGUGGGUUUACGACCUCGAUGUUGGAUCAGGGUAUCCUAGUGGUGCAGCCGCUACUAACGGUUCGUUUGUUCAACGAUUAAAACCCUACGUGAUCUGAGUUCAGACCGG
RNAcentral lists this ribosomal RNA (1016 nucleotides) under Leptodactylus mystacinus (moustached frog). RNAcentral describes it as "partial large subunit ribosomal RNA". It matches the Rfam family "Bacterial large subunit ribosomal RNA", at positions 981 to 2619 of the family's 2925-position model. Lineage: Eukaryota; Metazoa; Chordata; Amphibia; Anura; Leptodactylidae. The record is from RNAcentral.